CAGUGGUGCGUGCUCUACACGCCUCGCCGAAGGUCUACCAUUCCGGAUGGAUCUCCGCCUCUUCACCUGUCGCCCGCUCAUUCCUCCCGGCUACUCCCUCGCCCGCCUUACUCGUCCGCAUUGCCGCCUCGCUUCCUUCUCGCCUCUCUCCGUUGUCGCCGCAUCAAGGAUUCAAAUCAAAGCCAGUCCUCGCGAUCUUCCGCAGCGCGCUGCGGCCGCAAGAAGCGAUCCCCAAGGUAACGAGAUCGUCGAUGGUGUCUCAAUGCUUUGCGAGGGUGAUAGUGUUGAGACGGAUGUACCUGAAGUCGAAAUUCUUCGGGCAGAGGCGGAGGACGAGAAAUCGGAGUCCCCUAACAUUUUAAAGCAAAUGAAGGAUAUCGUAAUGUUUGCUGGGCCGGCGACAGGGCUCUGGAUUUGCGGUCCGUUGAUGAGUCUCAUCGAUACAAUGGUCAUAGGCCAGGGAAGCUCCUUGGAGCUCGCUGCGCUUGGGCCGGGGACAGUGUUUUGCGAUUACCUGUGCUACGUGUUCAUGUUUCUGUCGAUUGCCACUUCCAACAUGGUUGCCACCUCACUUGCUAAGAAGGAUAGAAAAAUAGUACAACAUCAGAUAUCUAUGCUACUUUUUGUGGCUUUUGCUUGUGGGCUCGGAAUGUUUCUGUUUACAAAGUUGAUGGGCACACAGAUACUAUCUGCUUUUGUUGGAUCAGAAAAUCUGCACAUGGUUCCUGCUGCUGAUUCAUAUGUUCAGAUUAGAAGCUUUGCUUGGCCUGCAGUUCUUGUUGGCAUGGUUGCACAGAGUGCCAGUUUGGGCAUGAAAGAUUCUUGGGGGCCUUUGAAGGCUUUGAUAGUAGCUAGUGCAGUGAAUGGUUUUGGAGAUUUUUUUCUUUGUUCUGUUUGUGGGUAUGGCAUUGCUGGAGCUGCAUGGGCGACAAUGUUAUCACAGGUUAUUGCUGCUUUUAUGAUGCUGGAAACCCUUAACAAGUCUGGUUAUAGUGCUUUUUUAGUAUGCAUUCCUUCACUUGGAGAAUUGCUCCAAAUACUAGCUAUUGCUGCUCCAGUUUUCAUAACAAUGACUUCAAAGGUUGCUUUCUAUUCUCUAAUCACCUAUUCUGCUACAUCAAUGGGGACAAUCACACUAGCAGCUCAUCAGGUUAUGGUUAAUGUCUUUUGCAUGUUCACUGUUUGGGGUGAACCUCUCUCACAAACUGCACAGUCGUUCAUGCCAGAGUUGAUCCAUGGAGUGAAUCGCAGUUUACAGAAGGCACGGAUGUUACUCAAAUCACUCACUAUGAUUGGAGUAAUAAUUGGAUUGACGUUGGGAGCUGUUGGAACUUCUAUCCCAUGGCUUUUGCCUCACUGUUUUACAACUGAUGAAAUGGUCAUUGGUGAGAUGCAUAAGAUCCUGCUUCCUUACUUCCUCGCAUUAGUGGUGACACCUUCAAUACAUAGUCUUGAAGGAACAUUGCUGGCUGGUAGAGAUCUCAGGUUUUUGAGUCUGUCAAUGAGUGGUUGUUUUUGUUCAGCUGGACUUAUCUUGUUGGUAUGAGAUUUUCAAAUAUUGAUGCCUCCUUAGAUUAUUGUUUUCACCAACGACCCUCUGGUGUUCCAGUUCUUUCCUAUAUCUAUAUACUUCUGAUCUCAUAUUAGAAUAUCUUGUCCAUGCUUCAAAUGGUUGCAUAUUUGUGCUUGUUCACCAUUUUUUUUAAAGACACUUAUUCUCUUUACCACUUAACUUUGCCUGUAGUCGUUCUACAAAGAGACUUAUUCAGUGUUGGAUUAUGUUCUUCUAAUGAGCAUGAAGUCUACAUUAAGCAAUGAACUUGAACAUGCUAUAGUUUUGCACGACCAAAUUAGACAACUUCAUUUCAGUCUCUGUUCAAGGUUUUAUGUUGAUACACAAAAGCACUGUGGAUAUUAUACAUAGCAUAAAUUGUAAAUUUAAACUAGUUUAUGAUGAAAAAUAUAAAUUCAUGUAGGAUUUCAGUGCAAGAUUUUAGAUCUUAGCCAUUUAACUUUGGUAAGAAAUGAAAUUGUAAGAAGAAAGUUAUUCAACAACUAGGUUAAUAUCUCGAGUCAUUUUGUGAACUUCCGUGUGGGUCAUCAUCAUGUUUCCUUCUUCCAUGCUAUCCUAGCAUUUGGCAGUAUUGUCAUGUUCUGAAAGCUAUCUUAUGGACUAUGUAUGAAAUGUGCCUCCCUGUGUUCUUGUGUGCUAGCUGCCUUAUGUGUUUUUUUCAUCAGCUUGUAAGCAGUACAGGCUUUGGUUUGCCAGGCUGCUGGUGGGCCCUUGUUGCAUUUCAAUGGGCCCGCUUUACACUUGCAUUACAAAGACUACUGUCUCCACGAGGCAUGUUGUACAACGAAGGUAAUGACCCAAAUGAACUGGUGAAGUUGAAAGCUACAUAGAAUCGUGCAUGCAACCUCAGACAGGACGUCAAACCUCCUGCUGGUUCCCCAAAUUAUAUAUCGUAUGGUAAUUGUUUUACUGGAACCGAAGUGUGUUUCUUGCACAUUAAGAAUGAUUUUUCCGGCUGUAUAUUACUCGAACUUCUUCAGAUGUGGUCAAGUUAAUAUUAUUUAUUUACAGGGCUGCCCGUCCCUAAUUAAGAAGAAUGUUUCCUUGUUUAUCUUCAAUUGUAUUGAAGAAGAAAAUUACCAAAUAAUCUUGCUUA
RNA transcript from Zingiber officinale, 2669 nucleotides. It is a transcript of the gene named protein DETOXIFICATION 46, chloroplastic-like, with no coding region annotated. The transcript is spliced from 15 exons. The record is from RefSeq and is a predicted model, not a curated record. Lineage: Eukaryota; Viridiplantae; Streptophyta; Magnoliopsida; Zingiberales; Zingiberaceae.